Long non-coding RNA from Leopardus geoffroyi (Geoffroy's cat), 187 nucleotides. RefSeq lists it as uncharacterized. The transcript has 3 exons. NCBI's taxonomy places the organism in Eukaryota, Metazoa, Chordata, Mammalia, Carnivora, Felidae. The record is from RefSeq and is a predicted model, not a curated record.
GAUACCAGAAAGUGUUUCACGUAUUAGGGCAACGGUUCAUGAAGCCUUGAUUUCUGCUUUCUUCUAUGUCCACACAUACUGAGCUGUUACAUGAAAUAUAUCUCCGGGCCGCCUGGGUGGUUCAGUUGGUUAAGCGUCUGACUCUUUACAUGGGCUCAGGUCGUGAUCUCCCAGCUAGAGAGCACAC